CGUGUAGGCGGAUGGGGACGUCGGUUGUUGAAAGCCCCCGGCUUAACCGGGGGAACUGGCACCGAAACGCCCCGUCUGGAGGGACGUAGGGGGACCUGGAACUUCCGGUGGAGCGGUGAAAUGCGUUGAGAUCGGAAGGAACGCCCGUGGCGAAAGCGAGGUCCUGGACGUUUUCUGACGCUGAGACGCGAAAGCUAGGGGAGCGAACGGGAUUAGAUACCCCGGUAGUCCUAGCUGUAAACGAUGGGCACUGGAUAGGGGGCUCGCCGAUGGGCUCUCUGUCGUAGGGAAGCCGUGAAGUGCCCCGCCUGGGGGAGUAUGGUCGCAAGGCUGAA
This 335-nucleotide ribosomal RNA is filed under the name uncultured bacterium. RNAcentral describes it as "bacterial SSU rRNA". It matches the Rfam family "Bacterial small subunit ribosomal RNA", at positions 568 to 898 of the family's 1533-position model. The record is from RNAcentral.